GAAACGGUGAGGACGCUUGAUUGGUGCUUUUUCUGCAGCGUUUGGCUUCUCUCUGUCACUUCGUAUAUUUGUUUUGGUUUCGGUGAUUGUUUGUUAUACCUUAAGGAGUUGGAUUUGAAUUGCGUUUUCGGAUUUUUAUUUAUUUAUGGAAGUAGUGACAGAAAUCGGUUGAAUCUCGGAUAUUGUGUUUCCUAGGUAGACUGUUCUUGCCUUCUUGGAAUCGACGGUGAUCUUGCGAUUCUGUUGACGUCGAUCCCUUGUGAUGACGAUUGGUCUAACUCUUAACCUGUUAUUAAGAACUGAUUAAAUGAAUUUGUUUUGAUAUCUGUUCUUCUUGGAGUUUUCACAAAAGCAUUGCUACUGUUCAUUGUUGAACGUAAUUAAGAGUAUUGGCUAUCUUUUCAUUGGGUUAUGCUGUGCAGAUGGACAGAUGGUUCUUUUGGGUUUCUUUCCCCUGUUACGAGAUUUAUGGAGUUGGAGUGUUGGCAGCGUAGCUGUUUUUCGUGGACGGAAUUUGGUUUAGUCGUUGAGUUUUAUAUUUCUUCUUGUUUAUAAUUUUGGAAGUUUAGAAAAAAAUAUUUCAAUACAUGGUUUCUGCCUGCAGUGAUGUUGCUGCUAAUCCUUUUCUAAAGAGCUGAUCCUUCAACUUCCUCAUGGCCGUUACGAAGAGAUGGAUAAUACUGAGAUUUUGAUACUAUCUACAUCGAGAUUCGGGCUAAGUCAUCCAAUAGGUGCUGUUUGAGGUUAUCAGUUAGAAUUGAAGAAAAGACAGGGAUGGAAGAUUUGGAAGCAGUGGGUGUAUCUUUUAACAGAUGGACUGUGGGAUUCUCACGCUGGGGUGGAUAAUUCAUCAAUUUUGCAGCAGUUUAAAGCUUUUAGGCUUGGCAGUGUUUGAAGAAGUUAUUUUGAUACUUGAAUUUUUAGUGCAGUUGCUGCUUUUGCCUGGUUUUUACAUUUCUAAUUUCUUUAAUCUUUUAGUCUCCUGGUAUCUGGGCUAAGAACUUUUUAUGGAUUUUGGUAGGAAGCUUUGUGCAAUGUCUGUGUAACCAUACACGUUAUGUUGGGAGUAUGAAAAAUUCUAUAUAUUGGGUUGAUGGAGUCUGAAUAGAGAAGGGUAAGCAGAUGCAGAGACAAUUGAUGGCCAUGAUCUAUGUUUUCUCUUUCUAAUUGAUUUAAAUGAUCUUGAAGUUUUACAGGCAGUGAUCAUAUUGCUUCAUUGAACAGUAAUUGUUGUAGAUCCAGGGAUAAUUGAUGGCCAUGGUCUGUGUUGUGUCUUCACUUAAUAAUUCAUAAAUGGGGUUCAUCUAGAUGUUUAACAGGCAGUUAUCACCUUGCUCAUAAUAAGAACAUUAAUUUUCUGAUGUGAUUGUGAUGUGGACUUCGAUCCUAUUUGCAUUUCUUAUGGUGGGAGAGACCUUUCCAGGUAUCAAACUUUGUCAUAUUUCUUUGCGCAUCAGCUUUUGUUUUUGGUAAUGUCAGUCUUUCUGGCCUCCAAACAGCAUUUCAUCAGUAGCGGAAAAUGGAUCAUGGCUUUUAUCAGUUUGCUUGAUAAAGUCUUUUGUAUGCAUUGGUUGGUUGGCUGGACAUUGUGAUGGGGAAAUUUGAUAUCUUCAUUUCUUGCUAGUGAUUCUUGUUCAUUGUUGGAGGAUCUUUUACUUUUAUCUUCUUGUUUUAGAAAAAUAUAGAAGUUAGAAGCCGUUUGUCCUUUGUGUUGUUUGUUUUUCUGUUGACUGUUUUUUUUUCUUUUUGUUUGUGACAAUCUCGACUCCCGGUGUUCAUAGGUAGUUGUUGACAACAGCAAUGUUGGAAAUUCUAUCCUCAGCACAUAACACAGAUAUGAUACUAUGGUUAUAUAGAUAAAAUUUUUUCCCUCUUGGUUUUUUUCGCUUGUAAUAUCCUUUUACUAUGGUUGACCUCUUGGUUUUUAUUGCUUGUAAUAUCUUUUUUAUGGUUUUGUUUACUCAGGGUUGCGUAUUUUGAAUUUUUGAAUCCUGUCUCAAGUCAGACUCACGAGGAAAUUUGCUCCCUGGUUCUUAUCCAAUCUUUUUAAAAUUUUUAGUUUUGGAACUUUUAGGAUCCUGAGUAGUUAAUGUCACUGAGUGUGAUUUGACUUUUUGACCAUUUAUUGUUUUGGAUGCUGAUGUAGUUUCCACAAUUAAAAGCAGGAAGUGCAAGGAUGAAGACCUCGCUGCAUUUGGAAUAGGGGUGUUUCUCUAUGUUUUUCAUAAAUUUUUUUUUCUUCGUUUGGUUAGGUUUUUGUGCAGUAGGUUGCUUUGAUUGCUUUCUGUGCUUCAUGUUCUUGAUUCUUGGGUCUCCACGGGCUGCUGUUAAAAAUUAUUAGCAAUUAUGCUGAGAGAAUGAGAUCUCUUUGUGGAUGGAGAUUGGGUAAGUAGAUGAGGAGGUGACGCCAUUUUAAUUGUCUAUAUCUUACAUAUACCCAAAAUUUGCUUACUGGGGUCCCCGGCCAGAACCACACGUGCAAGUUUCCCUGCAUGUAGCUUGUCCAUGCUUUCCGAGGCACUGCCUGUGACUCAGCAUGAGAGAAGGGGGCGGAACUGCACUCUCUCGUGUUCAGAGCAUUGUCCGAGUGAGUAGGCAGCGCCUACCAAGCAAAGCUUUCUUGAGGAGGCUGGGCUGCUUCCUUUUGGAAAACCAACCCUUUUUAUUUAUCUAUACUAAAAGCUGUUUGGAAAGAUUCCGGUAAUCACUUGCUUGUUUCAAAAGGUUGCAGACAUCCUUGCUGAGUGGAACGGUAAUCUUAUGCUGACAUUUUUCCUGUGUUUGUGAUUGAUAACUAUAUGAAUCCUUCUGUGAUUGUAGGUAGCAAAUACUUUUCUUGUUUCUCAAUCUCUGCAGCUAGCGUAUAUUUCAGUUUUCAUUUCUUGGAUUUAUAAAGUCUAGUUUUAAUUAGUUUUUAUAAAUGUCUGGAACAUGUUACUUUGUGAGGGCUUCAAAUUGAAUGGAUUUCGUUUAACUGAAAAAAUAUCUUUGUAAUUCCAGCUUUUGUAGUGGUCCUAAUCAAUAUUUUUAUGUACAGUGGCUGCUUGGGCUUUACUAAUGGAAAAAUUUCUUACUUAGUCUUCUAUUUCCUGUUUUGGAUUCCUGUGUUCUGCGCCUAAUACUUUUAACUUUUACCCUUUUUUUUUUCAUAAAUCUCCUGCCCUUUAAGUUCUUAAACUUUUGCUAUUUUCUUUUUUGAUCAGAUGCUUCUGGAAGGAGAUCAAUUUGGUAUUUUUUGUGUUUUUUGUUGUCAGGUUUUGGAAGCCUAAACAUAAUCGAGGUGGUUUGCCUUUUAAAUCAUUUUUAUUAUCUAUUGCCUAGAUUCUCAAAAUUUAUUGAUAUGUGUUUUUUACAGGCAGUUGUCAACAACAGUGUGCUUAGUUGAUAAGUAAUUGUUUCUCUGGUAUUUUGAGAAAAAUAUCUUUAUAGUUCCAGCUAGUUUUUAUAAUGGUCCUAAUUAAUGGUUUUAUAUGCAGUGGUCAGUUGGGCUCUACUAAUGGAGAAACUUGUUGCAAAGUCUUGAUUUCCUUUUUUGGAUUCUUGUGUUCUGUUUCGUUAUCUUUCACCUUUUAGCUCUGUUUUUCUUAAGUUCAAAACUCCCUUGCCCUUUGUGUUUUAAAUGUUUAGCUUUUGUAUUUGUUUUUUGUUUUUGUUGUUAGAGGUUUUGGGGAGGCAAAACUUAAUGGAUUUGGUUUGACUACCUAGUUCUCUUCACUUUUUGGUAAGAAUUUGAAAGUUUUCUGAUAUAUGUGGUUGUUGAUGAGAUUCUUCAGCAUUUUGGAUUUAUGUUCUCAUAUUCUUGUAAUUUUUUUUCUCUUUUAUUUUUUCCCUUUUUGGCCUCUCUUUGUUCGCUUAGACUCAUGUUUUUGUUUGGUUGGUUUGUCUUGAUUUUGCAGUCCUGUAUUUAAAUGAUGUGUUGCUAAAGAGGCUUUUCGAUUUUUGUAGGUUCUGUUUGAGGUUAUCAGUUAUAAAUAUUAGAGAAUAUAAGAGCAGGAUUGAAGAACAGUGGUGGGUGAGGGUUUCUUGUGAAAGGUUCUUUUUACACUAUAUCUAUACAUCUCUCCAUUUGUCAGUCAGAUGUUCUACUUUAAUGUUUGGAGUAGGUGAUUUUGACUCAAAUUUUAUGGGAUGUUAUUUACGUGAAUCUUGGAUAUUGCUGAUUGUGGACAAUCUAAUAUUUGAGAUCUGGAAAGCAGAUCUGGGUUGAUUUGCAGUGUUUCUAAGACCAGUUUGUUGUUUAGCCUGAUUUUAUCUUACAUGCAGAUGUUGGGAUUCUUGAGUUGGAACGGAUGAUCCGUCAAUCUUUCAGCUGUAUAAGCUUCUAGGUUUGGCAAUGUUUGAAGUUAUUUGAUACAUGUAUUUUUGGUGCAGUUAUUUGACUGGUUUUUAACUUUUCUAACUUCUUUAUCCCUUAGUCUCUCUGUGCCUGUGAAUUUUCAGUGCAUUUUAGUAGGAAGUCUUAUCCAAUGUAUGUCUGGUUAUUCAUGUUAUGUUUAGGAGUGUAAGAUUGUUGUAUAUUGUGGUGGAUGAAGUUCAAAGAAUGAGGACAGAAAGGGUUAAGCAGAUGCAGAGAUAAUUAUUGAUCAUGGUCUAAGUUACCUCUUUCGCUAGAAUCCAUAACCUUGGGGGUUUAGCUUUAUGUUUUACAGGCAGGGAUCACUUUGGGACCGUAAUUUUCUGAUACACUAGUGCAUGGAGUUAUUAAAGUGGUACAUGUUGUAAUCCUGUUGUGGGAAGAUUAUUCCAGCAUUUCAAGUUCUGUGACUUUUUUCUAUACAAAAUUUGCUUCUCUCAUAGCUUUGAAGAGUAUUUGGAAAUUAAAGGCAUAUUUUCAGUGAUUGGGCUUUUUUUUUUUAGUUUUUGGACACAGAAGUAGAGGAGAGGAAGAUAUUGCUUGUAAAGGACUUUGGACAGGAUGGAUUUGACUGAUUUCCAUUUUCUCUAAAUAUAUUGCCCAUUAUGGUAAAUGGUAUAUCUAUGCAUUUGGUUCGCUGGCUGUAUUGGUUCUUAUUUGAUCGUGUUGUGGAACCCCUGAGUGACAGGAAUUAGUCUUGGAUGUACUUUUGAUGUAGAAAAUUUGUAGCUACGGCCACCAGCAGGGGAAUCCAGAACAGGUCAAUCUUGCAUUUAUGGUUUCCAAUAAGAAAAUGCUGGCUUCUCUUCUCUUUGGCGUCUGAGCGUUUCUCUUCAGCAGUUGUUUCUAAUUUUCUUGGCAUAUUGGUUUUGGUUUCUUCAAUCGUUUGUUUUAUUUUUCAUAAUCGGAUUUCAUUUGUCAAGUGGAUUUUUUUUAUGAGUCCAAUCCAAACAGAAGUAGAUGUUGGAUGAAUCUUGUUUGUAGAUUGUUCUUGGAGUAUUAAGAUCUUGUGAUUCUCUUGA
This 5376-nucleotide small RNA is filed under the name Theobroma cacao (cacao). Its description in RNAcentral is "sRNA Tc08v2_g006070". The record is from RNAcentral. Lineage: Eukaryota; Viridiplantae; Streptophyta; Magnoliopsida; Malvales; Malvaceae.